UACGUAGGGGGCAAGCGUUGUCCGGAAUCAUUGGGCGUAAAGCGCGCGUAGGCGGCCCGGUAAGUCCGUUGUGAAAGUCAAAGGCUCAACCUUUGAACGCCGAUGGAUACUGCCGGGCUAGAGUCCGGAAGAGGCGAGUGGAAUUCCUGGUGUAGCGGUGGAAUGCGCAGAUAUCAGGAGGAACACCUAUUGCGAAGGCAGCUCGCUGGGACGUAACUGACGCUGAGACGCGAAAGCGUGGGGAGCAAACAGG
This 253-nucleotide ribosomal RNA is filed under the name uncultured bacterium. RNAcentral describes it as "partial 16S ribosomal RNA". It matches the Rfam family "Bacterial small subunit ribosomal RNA", at positions 524 to 776 of the family's 1533-position model. The record is from RNAcentral.